AAAGAAUUUGGUCAGCUGAAGAGGAAAAGGCAGAGUCCGAAAAAGAUAUGGAAAUGGAGGACAUUGAUGAAGAUAUAAAGCUGUGGUCAUCCGGCAAGGAAACCAACAUCCGGCUGCUACUUUCUACCCUCCAUCAUAUUCUAUGGCCCAGGAGUGGCUGGCAUGUAACUCCACUUACAAGCCUUAUGGAGGGUUCACAGGUGAAGAAAGCUUAUCAGAAGGCAAGAUUAUGCCUCCACCCAGACAAACUGCAGCAGAGAGGAGCAACAGACAUGCAAAAAUAUGUGGCUGAAAAAGCUUUCACUA
This 306-nucleotide unclassified non-coding RNA is filed under the name Hevea brasiliensis (rubber tree). The record is from RNAcentral. Lineage: Eukaryota; Viridiplantae; Streptophyta; Magnoliopsida; Malpighiales; Euphorbiaceae.